This 250-nucleotide ribosomal RNA is filed under the name uncultured bacterium. RNAcentral describes it as "partial 16S ribosomal RNA". It matches the Rfam family "Bacterial small subunit ribosomal RNA", at positions 524 to 772 of the family's 1533-position model. The record is from RNAcentral.
GACGAACCGGACAAACGUUAUUCGGAAUUACUGGGCUUAAAGAGUGCGUAGGCGGCUUGGCAGGUUGGGUGUGAAAUCCCUCGGCUCAACCGAGGAACUGCGCUCAAAACCGCCAAACUUGAGGGAGACAGGGGUGAGCGGAACUGAUGGGUGGAGCGGUGAAAUGCGUUGAUAUCAUCAGGAACACCGGUGGCGAAGGCGGCUCACUGGAUCUCUUCUGACGCUGAGGCACGAAAGCUAGGGGAGCGAA